GCGGGUGUAGCUCAGUUGGUAGAGCAGCUGACUCUUAAUCAGAAGGUCGGGGGUUCAAAUCCCUUCACCCGCACCA
Molecule: transfer RNA, 76 nt
Filed under: Oscillospiraceae bacterium
Lineage: Bacteria; Bacillati; Bacillota; Clostridia; Eubacteriales; Oscillospiraceae
Also listed under: 1 other name
Description: tRNA-Lys
Rfam family: tRNA
About the family: Transfer RNA (tRNA) molecules are approximately 80 nucleotides in length.
Source: RNAcentral